UACGAGGGGGGCGAGCGUUGUUCGGAAUUAUUGGGCGUAAAGGGCGCGUAGGCGGUUGGAUAAGUCUCGUGUGAAAUCUUCGGGCUCAACUCGAAGUCUGCACGAGAAACUAUCCGGCUAGAGUGUGGGAGAGGUGAGUGGAAUUCCUGGUGUAGCGGUGAAAUGCGUAGAUAUCAGGAGGAACACCUGUGGCGAAAGCGGCUCACUGGACCACAACUGACGCUGAGGCGCGAAAGCUAGGGGAGCAAACAGG
Molecule: ribosomal RNA, 253 nt
Filed under: uncultured bacterium
Lineage: Bacteria
Description: partial 16S ribosomal RNA
Rfam family: Bacterial small subunit ribosomal RNA
Source: RNAcentral